AAAGUUAAGUCUGAAUGGUAUGUUGUACCAUUUCCUCCAAGACUAGAUCGUGAAAUUGUGUAUCUAACUAGAAGCUUUGAGAAUAUAAAAUGUCUCUCUAGAAGGAAUGAAGGUGCACACUCAUGACUUUUACCAGAGAUGAUUUUCCUUUCUUAAUUCUGAAGGUUUGGGGUAAGAAAGAGUUGGAGUCCCAUUGUUGUUUCCUGUAGAAAUCUCUGUCUUGUUCUUGCCUUUGUGGUGGUGUACUGUGCUCUAUAGUAGUAGAGGAAUGUAGAUUCAAGGAGAACUUGACCUGUAUACUUUCAUUGGUAUUGGUUUAGGCCUUUGAGACAAAUUUUUGCCUUGAAGAUAAGGAGUUAGAAGACCAGAGGUUAGGUUUUAAGGGAUGGGUGGAGAUAUUGGAAUUUAGAAGAAAUGUUUUUGGAUGAAGAAGUUUUCAAGAACAAAGUUCAAAGAUCAUAUAUCGUAUGAUUCAUAAGAAGCGUUGAGUUCAAAGGUCAGAAUAAGAGGAGCUUUGGAUGAGCGUUGGUGUGGCAAUGUCUAGUUCUGUGUAUCAGUAACGUCAAAGGUCAGAAAAAUGAAGGUGUUGGUGAGCAUUGGAGUAUCCAACGUUGAGAAGGAAACAUGGUGUAUUAUAUCAAUGAUGUUUGAGAUUUGAGGGAAAUAAGUGGUGAAAGGUUUAAAGCUUAUGUUAAGGAAGAAAGAGAAGUUUAUAGUGGACUAGAGGGACUUAAUGUUUAGAAAGAAAGGAAUUAGAAGAAGAAGAGUUUGAGAAGUAGUUGUGUAAGACAUAAAGCAUAUUUAAGGACUGUGUAUUAGAAGUCAGAAUUUUCCCAGUUGAGAGAACGUGAAGUCUUUGAAGAUAAUUGAAGUAUCGUAAGGGUUUUGAGUUAAGCGAUAAUUAGAAGGAGAUGGAUAGGUCUUAUCAACAAGUGGAUUUGGAAUAUCCAAUUUUAGAAGGAUGUUUCAAGAUUAGUGGUUCGUUUAGAAGAAAUGUUUGAUCAUUGGCUGAGACGAGAGAUUUCAAGCAUUGAAGGAAGGAGUAUAUCAGGAUGUUAGUUUGAUAAGAAAGGGUGAGGAUAAAGAAUUAAGAGCAUGGUGAAUGAGGAACAAAGAAGAAAGGUUUUAAGAACAGAUGGCAAAGGGUGGUUACAGUAUAAGUUGCUAAAGAGGGUAUCGAGAAUAAUUGGAGAGUUUGGGUUGAUUGAGACGUUCAGAGUAUGAAGUUGCAUGUUGUGGUAAAGCCAGUUUCAUCGGAUGUGGUUUUAUAGUGAUGCUUAGUGUCCGACUGAGUUUGAUCAAGAUAGAAGUGAAUGUUGAAUGAUGGAUUGCAGAAGGCAAUGAGUUAGUAAGUUCAGGUAAGGUCAGAGGAUUGGUGUUGCUGGUUAAGGGUAUCUUGAACUUUAGAGGAUUAAAGAUAUGGUUUGUAAUUCUGACAAUUUCGAGUUGAAGAAGGUAAUUCUUAAAGAACAAGGUUUUAAGUUAGUCUGGCCGAGAUGAGUGUAAUAAGAAUUCUAAGUGAUGUAGANAUUAUGGAGUUAAUCUAAGGGCUCAUUUUUGAAGUUCAUAUGAAGAAGUUACUUGAUAAGGAAGGAUAGCGAAGUUGGUGCAUCAAGUGUAGUUAAGAAAACGUGGGAGCAAGUGUUAUAGGAAUUCAAGACAUCUAAUAAACGCAAGUGAAGAAUAGUCGAUGUUGUUCUUUCAUAAAUUUGAGGUGUGAUCAUCAAGGGAGGUUUGUUUGUUUUCAAUCGUUUAUGGGGGUUAUGGCCUUCAAAAGAAGUGUUGUGCUUUAAGAAGAAGAAAUGGUGUCACUAAUAUCUUUAUGGAUGGUUCCUGUUGAAGUUGUGUAGUACAAGAAGAAGGUCGGAGUUGGGCUAGAGCAGCAGUGUUUGGACUCAAUGUAAUCAUAGGGAAAAGUACAAGGUUGAAGAAUCUCAGAAGAGAAACAGAGGACAGGUUGGAACAGUCCGGUAUAAGUCUUAACAAUAAGGCGUGAUUCCGAGCAUGGUCGUUUUGUGAAGUAGAAAACAGUGUUGAGGAAAUGGAAUGACAAGAUUAUCAUGGAAGAAAAGAGUUAUCAGAGUUGUUGCAGCGUCAUAGAAGUUUUGAAGAAGAUUCUUCAAGGGUGAUCAUUUUCGGGUUACGGUUGUCAUGAGGAAGUGAUCUUUGAGUCAACUAGUGGACAAGGAAGUUUGAGGAUCAGAGUAGCAUAGCGGAUGACGGUGAGCAUAUUGUUGUCAGUAAUAGGUAUCAAGUAGAGGAGAUAAGGGAGCCUACAGUUUCAAGUUACAGGAUCAACUUUAAAGUGAGGAGGUAUUAAUGGAUUUGGAACAUGAAGAGUGGGUCAGUGGACGAAGGGGAUGAUUUGAGCUAUGGUUUUGAGUUAUGGUUUUGAGUUAUAGCGGUAAUCUAGAGGUAAGGAAAUGUUAACAGAUAGUUUAAACAAAGAGAAUAUUUAGGUUGUUGGUUUGUUACGGGCAGAGAAUAAGAGUUAGUUGAAUAAGUGUGGAGAUUAGUGUCUAAAGGGAAUGUAAUGAAGAGAACUCAUUAGUAUAGUUGAAAAACUAUAACUAGUAAGUUUCUCAAGGUGGUUCAACUAGGGCGAUUGGAUAAAUCCUAGUUUGAGAGGUAUCUUAAGUUGGAUAAGUACUGAUCAAGCUAGUGAUUUCAAGUUGAGUAGGAUAUAGAUCCAAGUAUGGUUCUGUUUGGCAGGUUAAAGGAGCGAAGAUGGAGCGUUCAAUUUGUUUUGGAAGUUGCAAUAGAGAAGAAUUUUUCUUUGGUAAUGAGAUAGUAUAGUUGGAAAUUAUGCUACUCAAGCGUAGAGAUCAAUAAACCAAGGUGAAGUACUCAGAAUGUAUGUGGUUGAAGGUGAUCAAGAUAAUAAUAGUUAGUAGUUAAAUCGGAAGAUAUGAUGAUCAAGUCAGUGGUAUGAUGAUUCUUAGAAGAAGCAAGAAAAGUCAAGAGUUGAUCUAAUUCAAAAAUAGCAGAGAAUAGAAGCGGGGUUAGUAGUGUGGCAGACACUAAUCUUUUCCAAUUUUAAUUUCUCUUCCAUUUCUUUGUAUGUCAUUUAGUAUAUUCUCUCUAGGUAUGCACUUCCCCAUCACACAACAAGAUUGAUUAUGUGAAAUAAAGGUUCUUGAGACCUAAGGUUAAGAAAUUCAGAUUUUGUUUGAGAGUAAUGGCUAGACCAAUCUACACUAUUUGAGCACUAGAGCAUUUUAACACAAAGGCAAGGUUUUCAUGCUAGUGAGGUUAUGGGUAAUAAUAUCUUUGUCAAGAUAGGUGGUUGUACUAGAGAAUGUGUUGAGGAUAGGUUAUUCCUUAUAUCUGAUGAGUGAAUUUUCGAGGACGAAAAUUUUUGAAGUGUGGGAGAAUGUGAGAACCUGAAAAAUGGGUUAAAAGAGGGAACUAGUGUAUUAGGCUAAUAGAACCAAAUUUUAAUAGUAUAAACAGAACCUCUUUAGAACAACCUGGUUCAUUAGCCUAUUUAUGCUUUCUCUCUCUAAAACUCAGAUCUCCAAGUUCUCUGUCUUCUCUCUACCACUUCUUCUCAUUGAACCAUCUUCUCAACAAUCAGGAAGCACGUAGGGAUUCCUGGCGUUGAGAGCUCAAAAUCCCAC
Molecule: long non-coding RNA, 3620 nt
Filed under: Vigna radiata
Lineage: Eukaryota; Viridiplantae; Streptophyta; Magnoliopsida; Fabales; Fabaceae
Description: long non-coding RNA (VRAD_LNC012634)
Source: RNAcentral